AACCAAAUGUCAUGAAAAGAGGAAAAGCAGGUUUAGGAGGAGUCAAGGAGUGGGAGAGAUUGAAAGGCCAGUUCAGAGCUCAGGAUAUUGGAGGUGGAGCAAUUUUGGAGUCUAAGUGCUAACUUCCUUGGUUCACAGUUCCAGAAAUGGGACCAAUCAAUCAAAAGGAUGAAGAUAAGAGAGAAGUACUUUUUUCCUUUGACCUCACAAGGAAAUGUUGCUAGGCUCCUGCUCUUCUCAGUGGGGAGAAUCAUGUCUGUUCAGCAGUAGGAGCUGCUUGGAUGCUGGACGCUGCAGCUGAUAGGAAGCAGUCAGAAGAUUUGAAUGGAGAGAAGAGGUACCAAGGGAGGACUCCAUCAUGCUUGCUUGAAGCAGGACCACUCUAAGCUCUCAUGUACUUGGCUGGAAAGUUGACUGAGCAAGUUCUAGGAGGAUUGUCCUAGAGGAAUGAUACAGCGAGAUUUUAAUUAUGUCAUUUAAUUUUUCCAACUAACAAAAAUUUAUUU
Vombatus ursinus (common wombat) is the source of this 506-nucleotide long non-coding RNA. RefSeq lists it as uncharacterized. The record is from RefSeq and is a predicted model, not a curated record. NCBI's taxonomy places the organism in Eukaryota, Metazoa, Chordata, Mammalia, Diprotodontia, Vombatidae. The transcript is spliced from 4 exons.